AGUUCAUAUUUCCAGACGCAUUAUUGCGUCUUUACUUUUCCUCUUUCUUCUUCUCCUUCCAACGCGUCUUUACUUCUCGAGUUCUCCUCCUUCUUCUUCUUCCAAGUUCCAACGCACAACGGCAGGAAGAAAAUUGAUUAUCCAAGCUCUUGCUCUCUCCCAAGUCCCAAACCCCCUGCAAAUUUUUUCUUUAAAUUGGUUUCAAACUUUCAAUGGUUACUCAAUUCUUCAAUUCAUUCUCAUCCAUCACCCAAUCUUUCUCCUCUCUAUGUUUAUGUUAUUCUACGGUGAUCGUACGAAAUUUUCAGCUUUCCAUUGAUGUAGGUUGAGGUGCAAUUGGAAGUUGCAGAUGCAAGUCAACGAAGAUCAAAAGACUGAGAAGAGAAAGAACAAGAAGGAAAAAAGCAAAUUCCAGAUUUUCAGGUGCAAUUAUAAGUUGGAUUUGCAAGUCAAUCUCGAUCAGAAAAGAAAAAACAAGAAGGACAAAAGCUGAUUCCAGAUUUCCAGGUUUUAUUGUUCUAUGCUAAAGUGUUUAUCAUUCAAAGUUUAGUGUCUUGGCUUGCUUAUUUGAGUUUUUUCUUGCUAGUUUCAAUAAUGUUUCCUAGGAAACAAAUCUCAGGUUCUCAAAAAAGAAAAAGAAAGAAAAGAGAAGAAGAAAUUAUUCAAUCUCAACGGGGAUCUUUAGAUAGAUAUUUUGUUAAAGAAACAAAUGAAUCUGUUGAAAAUCAUGUUGAGAAUUUAGUAAAUGAACCUGAACUACAUAUUCAUUGUUGUUUGAAUCUUGAAACUGCUUUGAGAAAUGGUGAUGGUUCUGACAUUGAUGCGAAAUAUUUGCUUAUGGAGUUACAAAUUUUGCAGGAAAUGUUGCCGAAUGAGGCAUAUGAAACAGAUAGGCCUUGGACAUCCAUUCAAAUUAUGGAGUUUGCAAAGAAAAUGGAUAUGUUUCCAAGUGUUAUGGUUGCCUAUAGGAUUUUAUUAACUAUACCGGUGACGGUAGCAUCCGCUGAAAGAAGUUUUUCAAAAUUAAAAUUAUUAAAAUCUUAUUUGCGGACUACCAUGACUCAAGAUAGGCUGAAUAGAUUAGCUAUUUUAACCAUUGAAAGAAAUAUGUUGGUAAAUGUUGACUAUGAGAAGAUAAUUGAUGAUUUUGCUUCAAGAAAUGCAAGAAGGCAUCAUUUCAGAUGAUUUGUAAUCUUUUUUAUAUGGGGUUUUGGUUUUAUGUCUCCUCCCAUUGUAUAAUAUUUCUUUAUGUAAUAAAAUCGGCGUGGGGAUGAGCCGCCCAGUUUGACUGGGUUCCAAACCCCUAAAUAAAGGAUUUAGAUUAUGACAUUUUGUAA
Molecule: long non-coding RNA, 1337 nt
Organism: Rosa chinensis
Lineage: Eukaryota; Viridiplantae; Streptophyta; Magnoliopsida; Rosales; Rosaceae
Exons: 3
Source: RefSeq, a predicted model, not a curated record